CAGCCGCCGCGGUAAUACGAAGGGGGCUAGCGUUGUCCGGAUUUACUGGGCGUAAAAGGCGCGUAGGCGGAUUUGUAAGUCAGGGGUGAAAUCCCGAGGCUCAACCUCGGAACUGCCUUUGAUACUGUGGAUCUUGAGUCCGGGAGAGGUGGGUGGAACUGCGAGUGUAGAGGUGAAAUUCGUAGAUAUUCGCAAGAACACCAGUGGCGAAGGCGGCUCACUGGCCCGGAACUGACGCUGAGGCGCGAAAGCGUGGGGAGCAAACAGGAUUAGAUACCCCAGUAGUCCCUGUCUCUUAUAC
RNAcentral lists this ribosomal RNA (301 nucleotides) under uncultured bacterium. RNAcentral's name for it is "partial 16S ribosomal RNA". It matches the Rfam family "Bacterial small subunit ribosomal RNA", at positions 509 to 807 of the family's 1533-position model. The record is from RNAcentral.